This is a long non-coding RNA of Chroicocephalus ridibundus (black-headed gull), 429 nucleotides long. RefSeq lists it as uncharacterized. The transcript is spliced from 3 exons. Lineage: Eukaryota; Metazoa; Chordata; Aves; Charadriiformes; Laridae. The record is from RefSeq and is a predicted model, not a curated record.
AGCAAGUCCAGAGGGUCUCUGGUGGGCUCUCUUCAAAUCCCGCACUCGCUGUGCUCCCUGCUCUGGUAGCUGGAUUACAGCUAGCUCGACUGAGGUAAAACCGUGUGCUGCGGUCCAACCAGUUAAUUACAGCACAGCCUGCAGCAGCAGAAUGAGAAGCAAUGACCUCGCUGAUGAGGCUGCUGGCUAAGAACAUCAUGAAAAUACUGACUAUGUCUAUGGGAGAUCCUGCAGUGCCACCCAAAAGGAUCCUGCCCUGGAAAGUCGGGACAUCAUCAGCCAGGGGUCUGAGAUAACCAACUCUGCUCAAGUGCAAGAUUAGGAACAUCAGGACCUGAAACUAAGACUGGGCCUCAUCCUUCAUUGAAGGGUAAACCCAGAGCUAAGAAGAAUGGGAAAAAUUCGUAUUAUCAUACUUUAUCCUGAGAG